UACGAAGGGUCCAAGCGUUAUCCGGAUUUAUUGGGUUUAAAGGGUGCGUAGACGGGUUGUUAAGUCAGUGGUGAAAUCUUGCAGCUUAACUGUAAAAUUGCCAUUGAUACUGACGAUCUUGAGUACACUUGAGGUGAGCGGAAUAUGUCAUGUAGAGGUGAAAUUCUUAGAGAUGACAUAGAACACCGAUUGCGAAGGCAGCUCACUAAAUUGUAACUGACGCUGAGGCACGAAAGCGUGGGGAUCAAACAGG
This 253-nucleotide ribosomal RNA is filed under the name uncultured bacterium. RNAcentral's name for it is "partial 16S ribosomal RNA". It matches the Rfam family "Bacterial small subunit ribosomal RNA", at positions 524 to 776 of the family's 1533-position model. The record is from RNAcentral.